GCGAUGGCCGUCGUCAGUUCGUACUGUGAAGCAUCCUGUUAAGUCAGGCAACGAGCGAGACCCACGCCCACAGUUGCCAGCGUACUCUCUGGAGUGACGGGUACACUGUGGGGACCGCCGCUGCUAAAGCGGAGGAAGGAAUGGGCAACGGUAGGUCAGUAUGCCCCGAAUAUCCCGGGCUACACGCGAGCUACAAUGGUUGGUACAAUGGGUAUCUACCCCGAAAGGGGACGGGAAUCUCCUAAAACCAAUCUUAGUUCGGAUUGAGGGCUGCAACUCGCCCUCAUGAAGCUGGAAUCCGUAGUAAUCGCGUUUCAACAGAACGCGGUGAAUACGUCCCUGCUCCUU
Molecule: ribosomal RNA, 348 nt
Filed under: uncultured Methanosaeta sp.
Lineage: Archaea; Methanobacteriati; Methanobacteriota; Methanomicrobia; Methanotrichales; Methanotrichaceae
Description: bacterial SSU rRNA
Rfam family: Archaeal small subunit ribosomal RNA
Source: RNAcentral